UACGGGGGGGGCAAGCGUUGUUCGGAAUUACUGGGCGUAAAGGGCUCGUAGGUGGCCAACUAAGUCAGACGUGAAAUCCCUCGGCUUAACCGGGGAACUGCGUCUGAUACUGGAUGGCUGGAGAUUGGGAGAGGGAUGCGGAAUUCCAGGUGUAGCGGUGAAAUGCGUAGAUAUCUGGAGGAACACCGGUGGCGAAGGCGGCGACCUGGGUCGAGACUGACGCUGAGGUGCGAAAGCGUGGGGAGCAAACAGG
This 253-nucleotide ribosomal RNA is filed under the name uncultured bacterium. RNAcentral describes it as "partial 16S ribosomal RNA". It matches the Rfam family "Bacterial small subunit ribosomal RNA", at positions 524 to 776 of the family's 1533-position model. The record is from RNAcentral.